CCCUUAGAUGUUCUGGACUGCACACGCGCUACACUGGCAGGUUCAGCGAGCUUCUUGCCCUGAUCUGAGAAGAAUGGGAAACCUUUUCAACACCUGCCGUGCUUGGGAUAGAUGUUUGCAAUUAUUCAUCUUCAACAAGGAUUGCCUUGUAGGCGUGCCUCAUCAGGGCACAUCGAAUACGACCCUGUAUUCUGUACACACCGCCCGUCGCUCCUACCGAUUGAAGUUUUCGGUGAAUCUUUAGGACUGUGGCUGAGGCCUUGCCUUGUGCGGGUCUGGCCGUGGGAAUUUAGUUAAACCUUACCAUUUAGAGGAAGGUGAAGUCGUAACA
RNAcentral lists this ribosomal RNA (331 nucleotides) under uncultured eukaryote. RNAcentral describes it as "partial 18S ribosomal RNA". It matches the Rfam family "Eukaryotic small subunit ribosomal RNA", at positions 1470 to 1796 of the family's 1831-position model. The record is from RNAcentral.